GCCCGAUUAGCUCAGCUGGUUAGAGCGUCGUACUAAUAUUGAGUUUCGUCACAAGAGUCAAUAUCGAGUCCAUGCGAAGGUCAACAGUUCAAUCCUGUUAUUGGGCA
Non-coding RNA from Cercophora samala, 107 nucleotides. Lineage: Eukaryota; Fungi; Ascomycota; Sordariomycetes; Sordariales; Lasiosphaeriaceae. The record is from the annotation of a GenBank genome assembly.